UCCGAGUUAGACCCGGCAGUCUCGCUAGACAUGGUAACUAGCGACGAGGGUUGCGCUCGUUGCGGGACUUAACCCAACACCUCACGGCACGAGCUGACGACAGCCAUGCAGCACCUGUAUAGGCUCCCUUGCGGGUCGGUCACCUUUCAGCUCCCUACCACCUAUAUGUCAAGCCCAGGUAAGGUUCUUCGCGUUGCAUCGAAUUAAUCCACAUGCUCCGCCGCUUGUGCGGGCCCCCGUCAAUUUCUUUGAGUUUUAGCCUUGCGGCCGUACUCCCCAGGCGGGGUACUUAAUGCGUUAGCUACGGCACGGACGGAGUCGACACCGCCCACACCUAGCACCCAUCGUUUACGGCGUGGACUAC
RNAcentral lists this unclassified non-coding RNA (364 nucleotides) under uncultured Actinomycetes bacterium. RNAcentral's name for it is "uncultured actinobacterium contains 16S-23S intergenic spacer region". Lineage: Bacteria; Bacillati; Actinomycetota; Actinomycetes. The record is from RNAcentral.